This 301-nucleotide ribosomal RNA is filed under the name uncultured bacterium. RNAcentral describes it as "partial 16S ribosomal RNA". It matches the Rfam family "Bacterial small subunit ribosomal RNA", at positions 509 to 807 of the family's 1533-position model. The record is from RNAcentral.
CAGUCGCCGCGGGAAUACGGAGGGUGCAAGCGUUAAUCGGAAUUACUGGGCGUAAAGCGCACGCAGGCGGUCUGACAAGUCAGAUGUGAAAUCCCCGGGCUUAACCUGGGAACUGCAUUUGAAACUGUCAGGCUGGAGUCUUGUAGAGGGGGGUAGAAUUCCAGGUGUAGCGGUGAAAUGCGUAGAGAUCUGGAGGAAUACCGGUGGCGAAGGCGGCCCCCUGGACAAAGACUGACGCUCAGGUGCGAAAGCGUGGGGAGCAAAUAGGAUUAGAUACCCCAGUAGUCCCUGUCUCUUAUAC